UACAGAGGUGGCAAGCGUUGUUCGGAAUUAUUGGGCGUAAAGCGCGCGCAGGCGGCGAUCUACGUCUGGGGUGAAAGCCCGGAGCUCAACUCCGGGACUGCCUUGGAUACGGGACCGCUUGAGGAUUGGAGAGGCAAGGGGAAUUCCACGUGUAGCGGUGAAAUGCAUUGAGAUCGGAAAGAACACCAACGGCGAAAGCACUCUGCUGGGCCGACACUGACACUGAGAGACGAAAGCUAGGGGAGCAAAUGGG
RNAcentral lists this ribosomal RNA (253 nucleotides) under uncultured bacterium. RNAcentral describes it as "partial 16S ribosomal RNA". It matches the Rfam family "Bacterial small subunit ribosomal RNA", at positions 524 to 776 of the family's 1533-position model. The record is from RNAcentral.